UGAUGUGAGGGCAUUCUGGCUUCGACAUUGAUCACCAGGGUUGAUUCAGCUGAUCUGACUGGCUAGGUGGGUGUCCCUUUCCUCCCUCAUGCUCCAUGUGUGUCCCUUCCAACACUGCUCUAGCUCAGCGGAAGAGGAGAAGCUUCCCCAAAUAGAGGAGGAUCAGUCAAGGGUAGAUGAGUAGCUGGGCUCCCCUGCUAGACCUCCAAACAAGCCUUUCUUUUUCUUUCUUUUUUUUAAUUACACUAACACCAGGCACUGCACUCUCUCACCUGACUACAUUAGCACUUGUGAGGGUAGUUUGGGGUGUAAACGGCUGUUCAA
RNAcentral lists this small nuclear RNA (324 nucleotides) under Meriones unguiculatus (Mongolian gerbil). Its description in RNAcentral is "7SK RNA (ENSMUGG00000008140.1)". It matches the Rfam family "7SK RNA", at positions 1 to 280 of the family's 331-position model. Rfam says of the family: 7SK was discovered as an abundant small nuclear RNA in the mid-70s but a possible function has only recently been suggested. Two independent studies have found that 7SK RNA binds the CDK9/cyclin T complex (known as elongation factor P-TEFb). P-TEFb activates transcription by phosphorylating the C-terminal domain of RNA polymerase II. Lineage: Eukaryota; Metazoa; Chordata; Mammalia; Rodentia; Muridae. The record is from RNAcentral.